GGAGAGUUGUCAGAGUGGUCGAAUGUGUCGCUCUCGAAAAGCGAUGAAGUGAAAGCUUCCGGCGGUUCGAAUCCGCCACUCUCCGCCA
This 88-nucleotide transfer RNA is filed under the name Candidatus Onthoplasma faecigallinarum. Its description in RNAcentral is "tRNA-Ser". It matches the Rfam family "tRNA". Rfam says of the family: Transfer RNA (tRNA) molecules are approximately 80 nucleotides in length. Their secondary structure includes four short double-helical elements and three loops (D, anti-codon, and T loops). Further hydrogen bonds mediate the characteristic L-shaped molecular structure. tRNAs have two regions of fundamental functional importance: the anti-codon, which is responsible for specific mRNA codon recognition, and the 3' end, to which the tRNAs corresponding amino acid is attached (by aminoacyl-tRNA synthetases). tRNAs cope with the degeneracy of the genetic code in two manners: having more than one tRNA (with a specific anti-codon) for a particular amino acid; and 'wobble' base-pairing, i.e. permitting non-standard base-pairing at the 3rd anti-codon position. The record is from RNAcentral. Lineage: Bacteria; Bacillati; Bacillota; Clostridia; Christensenellales; Christensenellaceae.